GAUGAAGAACGUAGCGAAAUGCGAUAAGUAGUGUGAAUUGCAGAAUUCAGUGAAUCAUCGAAUCCUUGAACGCACAUUGCGCCCUCUGGUAUUCCGGAGGGCAUGCCUGUUCGAGCGUCAUUAAAACUACUCAAGCUAAGGUUUUACCUUCUGCUUGGUCUUGGGUUUGAGGAUUCAAAAUCCUCUCUCCGAAAUCCAGUGGCGAAUUGUUUGAGCUGUAGACGUAGUAAAUCAUUCUACCCGUUGCAAGCGAGAAUAAUAUUCAGCCAUAACCCCCAUACUUUUCUAGUUUGACCUCGGAUCAGGUAGGGAUACCCGCUGAACUUAAGCAUAUCAAUAAGCGGAGGA
Molecule: unclassified non-coding RNA, 348 nt
Filed under: soil metagenome
Description: partial contains 5.8S ribosomal RNA, internal transcribed spacer 2, and large subunit ribosomal RNA
Rfam family: 5.8S ribosomal RNA (bases 1-120)
Source: RNAcentral